CGAGAAAAUAGUUUACAAUUGAAUCUGCAGAGGAAAUUUGGAGCUCUGUGCUAUUUAACCGCUUGUGGGGGCAGGGUGAGCUCUGAGGAGCCGAGGGCACGCAUCUCCCCCAGGCACUGCUGGGAUACAAUGACUUCACAACGCACUGAAGUUGAAUUUCCUCGAGUUUGGUGGCAAAGUGCAGAAGCAGAAGAAUGGAUCUCCUACAGGUAUGGAGAGAGACGCAGGAGGCUGAGUGCAACGGGGCAAUCCUUUAAGCCGAUCCACAAAGUACUCAUUGUUCCAGGUUAAGACAAGCAACAUAGCAAUAAAUAUUGAGCAAGGAAGUCAACCUGUAUCCACAGCCUUUGAAUAACACAGA
RNAcentral lists this long non-coding RNA (361 nucleotides) under Gallus gallus (chicken). RNAcentral describes it as "long non-coding RNA NONGGAT002223". Lineage: Eukaryota; Metazoa; Chordata; Aves; Galliformes; Phasianidae. The record is from RNAcentral.